This 565-nucleotide ribosomal RNA is filed under the name Octospora sp. RNAcentral's name for it is "partial large subunit ribosomal RNA". The record is from RNAcentral. Lineage: Eukaryota; Fungi; Ascomycota; Pezizomycetes; Pezizales; Pyronemataceae.
CUGCGNGUGAAGCGGCAAAAGCUCAAAUUUGAAAUCUGGCGUCCUCUGRGCCGUCCGAGUUGUAAUUUGGAGGAGCGUCUUCGGGAGCGGCACCGUCCUAAGUUCUUUGGAACAGGACGUCAUAGAGGGUGAGAAUCCCGUGCCUGGGCGGUUGAUCCGUUCCCAUGCGAAGUGCUUCCGACGAGUCGAGUUGUUUGGGAAUGCAGCUCAAAAUGGGUGGUAAAUUUCAUCUAAAGCUAAAUAUUGGCGAGAGACCGAUAGCGCACAAGUAGAGUGAUCGAAAGAUGAAAAGCACUUUGAAAAGAGAGUUAAAAAGUACGUGAAAUUGUUGAAAGGGAAGCGCUUGAGAUCAAACUCGGCCUCUGGUGAUCCGCUGGGCUUCUGUCCGGUGAAACUUUGCCAUUGGGGCCGGGCCAGCAUCGGUUCUGACGGUGGGAAAAACGGCCGGGGAAUGUGGCUUCCUCUCUCGAGGGAGUGUUAUAGACCUGGCCUUCGAUACCGCCAGUCAGGACCGAGGACCGCGCUUUCGGGCUAGGAUGCUGGCGUAAUGGUCUUAAGCGACCCG